CUGCAGCCAAUACUGACUGAGUUCCCUUCCUCAUGGGGCCCAGGUGCAAUGGCUGCAAAACAAGCAGCUUCCCUGGAGUGAAGCCAGCCUGUUGUUAUGGGUGCCCCUAAAGAACCUUGGAGGACAGUC
Molecule: small nucleolar RNA, 129 nt
Filed under: Cercocebus atys (sooty mangabey)
Lineage: Eukaryota; Metazoa; Chordata; Mammalia; Primates; Cercopithecidae
Description: Small nucleolar RNA SNORA70 (ENSCATG00000042728.1)
Rfam family: Small nucleolar RNA SNORA70
About the family: snoRNA U70 seems to be exclusive to mammals and is a member of the H/ACA class of snoRNA which contain H (ANANNA) and ACA box motifs. H/ACA box snoRNAs are involved in the conversion of uridines to pseudouridines (5-ribosyluracil) a constituent of structural RNAs (transfer, ribosomal, small nuclear, and small nucleolar).
Source: Rfam by way of RNAcentral